ACCAGACUCCACGGGAGGCAGCAGUGGGGAAUAUUGCACAAUGGGGGAAACCCUGAUGCAGCGACGCCGCGUGAGUGAAGAAGUAUUUCGGUAUGUAAAGCUCUAUCAGCAGGAACGAGACAAGACGGUACCUGACUAAGAAGCCCCGGCUAACUACGUGCCAGCAGCCGCGGUAAUACGUAGGGGGCAAGCGUUAUCCGGAAUCACUGGGUGUAAAGGGAGCGUAGACGGCUGAGCAAGCCUGAAGUGAAAGGCGGGGGCCCAACCCCCGGACUGCUUUGGGAACUGUACGGCUGGAGUGCAGGAGAGGUAAGUGGAAUUCCUAGUGUAGCGGUGAAAUGCGUAGAUAUUAGGAGGAACACCAGUGGCGAAGGCGGCUUACUGGACUGUAACUGACGUUGAGGCUCGAAAGCGUGGGGAGCAAACAGGAUUAGAUACCCCUGUA
This 445-nucleotide ribosomal RNA is filed under the name uncultured bacterium. Its description in RNAcentral is "bacterial SSU rRNA". It matches the Rfam family "Bacterial small subunit ribosomal RNA", at positions 330 to 792 of the family's 1533-position model. The record is from RNAcentral.